GUCCCAGCCCAUCAGUGACUGAAGCUGGCUUAGAUGACACCUGGGGGCCAGGCCCUUGUUUUACAGGCCAGGAAACUGAGGCUGGGGCCACACGACCGCAGCGCUCCUUGCGGACUUAUCUGCGACCUCACAGCAACCCGGUGGUGGUGGGAAAGCUCCUCUGGAGCAGGCAGAUAAGGAAACAGAGGCUCAGAGGAGUCCAGAGCCGGCUCAAGGUCACGCACCCGGUGAAGCCAGGGCUGGUGGCGCCUGGGCUUCCUGGUGCAAGGCACUUUCUGCUCUUCCCAUCCUGGUCUGGCAGGAACAGCCACUAAGCCAAGAGGAUCGGAGGCCCAGAGAGGCAGGGCAUAUACAAAGGCACAGUCGAGACUCUCCGGUGGAUUAUAUAACCCCUCCGAGGGGCUGUUCCCGGGGGGAACUGAGGCAGCCAAGGUGGCCCGGGGACCGCACAGCCAGUCUGGCCCACCCACCAGCCGGCUUCGCUCUUUCCAAAGAGGGCAGGAGGCCAGGCAGGGUGCUCCCAGCCCUCUGGUGAAGCUGGGCUUUGUCUGUAGGCAGAGUACACAGGCAAGCCCGGCUCAGACCUCCUGAUCUACAUACCAGU
RNAcentral lists this long non-coding RNA (604 nucleotides) under Heterocephalus glaber (naked mole-rat). Its description in RNAcentral is "lncRNA (ENSHGLG00000042206.1)". The record is from RNAcentral. Lineage: Eukaryota; Metazoa; Chordata; Mammalia; Rodentia; Bathyergidae.